This 482-nucleotide ribosomal RNA is filed under the name uncultured bacterium. Its description in RNAcentral is "partial 16S ribosomal RNA". It matches the Rfam family "Bacterial small subunit ribosomal RNA", at positions 30 to 507 of the family's 1533-position model. The record is from RNAcentral.
AUUGAACGCUGGCGGCAUGCUUUACACAUGCAAGUCGAACGGUAACAGGCCGCAAGGUGCUGACGAGUGGCGAACGGGUGAGUAAUGCAUCGGAACGCGCCCAGUCUUGGGGGAUAACUACUCGAAAGAGUAGCUAAUACCGCAUACGAUCUAUGGAUGAAAGCGGGGGACCGUAAGGCCUCGCGCGAUUGGAGCGGCCGAUGUCAGAUUAGGUAGUUGGUGGGGUAAAGGCUCACCAAGCCAACGAUCUGUAGCUGGUCUGAGAGGACGACCAGCCACACUGGGACUGAGACACGGCCCAGACUCCUACGGGAGGCAGCAGUGGGGAAUUUUGGACAAUGGGCGCAAGCCUGAUCCAGCAAUGCCGCGUGCAGGAAGAAGGCCUUCGGGUUGUAAACUGCUUUUGUACGGAACGAAACGGCUCUGGUUAAUACCCGGGGCUAAUGACGGUACCGUAAGAAUAAGCACCGGCUAACUACGUG